GGAAAUCAAUGAUGUACAUGACAAGCAACAGUGGGCCCAGCAUCAAUCCCUGUGCACAUCACUGAUUACAAGGCUCCAAUGUGAAAAACAACCCUCCAUUACCCCCUCUGAU
Long non-coding RNA from Amblyraja radiata (thorny skate), 112 nucleotides. RefSeq lists it as uncharacterized. The transcript is spliced from 3 exons. The record is from RefSeq and is a predicted model, not a curated record. NCBI's taxonomy places the organism in Eukaryota, Metazoa, Chordata, Chondrichthyes, Rajiformes, Rajidae.